This 96-nucleotide small RNA is filed under the name Ruminococcus sp. CAG:177. Its description in RNAcentral is "Gut-1 RNA". It matches the Rfam family "Gut-1 RNA". Lineage: Bacteria; Bacillati; Bacillota; Clostridia; Eubacteriales; Oscillospiraceae. The record is from Rfam by way of RNAcentral.
CAGUGAAAUUCGUUCCUUUGGAACAAGUGAAAUAUCUUUGAUGUGAAAUAUUUGCUCCGCAAAUGUGAAAUACGCCUGCGGCGUGUGAAAGCGCUG